RNAcentral lists this transfer RNA (72 nucleotides) under Ophiosteira antarctica. RNAcentral describes it as "tRNA-Leu". It matches the Rfam family "tRNA". Rfam says of the family: Transfer RNA (tRNA) molecules are approximately 80 nucleotides in length. Their secondary structure includes four short double-helical elements and three loops (D, anti-codon, and T loops). The record is from RNAcentral. Lineage: Eukaryota; Metazoa; Echinodermata; Ophiuroidea; Amphilepidida; Ophiuridae.
CUUGUAGUAAUUAAAAUGAAAUAAUAAUAGACUUAAAAUCUAAAAAUGGAGGUUUAAACCCUCCCUAUAAUU